UCCUGGUUAACCCAGGCAGUCUCACUAGAGUUCCCACCCUAACGUGUUGGCAACUAGUGAUAAGGGUUGCGCUCGUUGCGGGACUUAACCCAACACCUCACGGCACGAGCUGACGACAGCCAUGCAGCACCUGUGCAGAGGCCCCGAAGGGAAUCACCAUCUCUGGUGACGUCCUCUGCAUGUCAAGCCUGGGUAAGGUUCUUCGCGUUGCAUCGAAUUAAACCACAUGCUCCACUGCUUGUGCGGGUCCCCGUCAAUUCUUUUGAGUUUCACCCUUGCGAGUGUACUCCCCAGGCGGCAUACUUAACGCGUUAGCUCCGGCACAGCCAGGGUUGAGUCCAGCUACACCAAGUAUGCAUCGUUUACGGCAAGGACUAC
Molecule: unclassified non-coding RNA, 378 nt
Filed under: uncultured Chlamydiales bacterium
Lineage: Bacteria; Pseudomonadati; Chlamydiota; Chlamydiia; Chlamydiales
Description: contains 16S-23S intergenic spacer region
Source: RNAcentral